This 63-nucleotide transfer RNA is filed under the name Artopoetes pryeri. Its description in RNAcentral is "tRNA-Val". It matches the Rfam family "tRNA". Rfam says of the family: Transfer RNA (tRNA) molecules are approximately 80 nucleotides in length. Lineage: Eukaryota; Metazoa; Arthropoda; Insecta; Lepidoptera; Lycaenidae. The record is from RNAcentral.
UAGAUUAUAGCCUAAUAAAGCAUUUCAUUUACAUUGAAGAGAUAUUAAAUUUAAUUAAUCUAA